GAUGAACGCUGGCGGCGUGCCUAAUACAUGCAAGUCGAGCGAACAGACGGGGCGUUUGCUCCUCUGACGUUAGCGGCGGACGGGAGCGUAACACGGGGAUAACCUAACUCUGAGACUGGGGUGCCUUCGGGGAACCGGUGCUAAUACCGGAUAAUAUAUUGAACCGGAUUGUUCCAUAGUAAAAGUCGGUUUUGCUGGCACUAAUAGCUUGAUACGCGCAUGAUUAGCUGGUUGGUUAAGUGACGGAUUAGCCAGGCAACGAUGGAUAGCCGACCUGAGAGGGUGAUCCGCCACCCGGGAACUGAGACAGGGCCCCGACUCCGACGGGAGGCAGCAGUAGGGAAUCUUACGCAAUGGGGGAAAGCCGGACGGAGCAAAGCCGCGUGAGUGAUGAAGGUCUUCGGAUCGUAAAACGCUGUUAGUAGGGAAGAACAAAUGUGUAAGUAACUAUGCCCGUCUUGACGGUACCGAAUCAGAAAGCCACGGCUAACUACGUG
Molecule: ribosomal RNA, 497 nt
Filed under: uncultured bacterium
Lineage: Bacteria
Description: partial 16S ribosomal RNA
Rfam family: Bacterial small subunit ribosomal RNA
Source: RNAcentral